AAUCAACGCUGGCGGCGUGCCUAACACAUGCAAGUCGAACGCGAAAGUCCCGCAAGGGAUAAGUAGAGUGGCAAACGGGUGAGUAACACGUGGGUGACCUGCCUUCGAGCGGGGGAUAAC
Molecule: ribosomal RNA, 120 nt
Filed under: uncultured bacterium
Lineage: Bacteria
Description: partial 16S ribosomal RNA
Rfam family: Bacterial small subunit ribosomal RNA
Source: RNAcentral